RNAcentral lists this ribosomal RNA (456 nucleotides) under uncultured Bacillota bacterium. Its description in RNAcentral is "bacterial SSU rRNA". The record is from RNAcentral. Lineage: Bacteria; Bacillati; Bacillota.
GAGUUUGAUCAUGGCUCAGGACGAACGCUGGCGGCACGCCUAACACAUGCAAGUCGAACGGAGAUAUUUUGGUUUACUGAGAUAUCUUAGUGGCGGACGGGUGAGUAACACGUGAGCAACCUGCCUCUGAGAGAGGGAUAGCUUCUGGAAACGGAUGGUAAUACCUCAUAACAUAACGAAGCCGCAUGACUUUGUUAUCAAAGAUUUAUCACUCAGAGAUGGGCUCGCGUCUGAUUAGAUAGUUGGUGAGGUAACGGCUCACCAAGUCGACGAUCAGUAGCCGGACUGAGAGGUUGAACGGCCACAUUGGGACUGAGACACGGCCCAGACUCCUACGGGAGGCAGCAGUGGGGAAUAUUGCACAAUGGGGGAAACCCUGAUGCAGCGAWGCCGCGUGGAGGAAGAAGGUUUUCGGAUUGUAAACUCCUGUCUUAAAGGACGAUAAUGACGGUACCU